AGUGAACGCUGGCGGUAGGCCUAACACAUGCAAGUCGAACGGCAGCACAGUAAGAGCUUGCUCUUACGGGUGGCGAGUGGCGGACGGGUGAGGAAUACAUCGGAAUCUACUUUUUCGUGGGGGAUAACGUAGGGAAACUUAAGCUAAUACCGCAUACGACCUACGGGUGAAAGCAGGGGAUCUUCGGACCUUGCGCGAAUGAAUGAGCCGAUGUCGGAUUAGCUAGUUGGCGGGGUAAAGGCCCACCAAGGCGACGAUCCGUAGCUGGUCUGAGAGGAUGAUCAGCCACAUUGGAACUGAGACACGGUCCAGACUCCUACGGGAGGCAGCAGUGGGGAAUAUUGGACAAUGGGCGCAAGCCUGAUCCAGCCAGACCGCGUGUGUUAAGAAGGCCUUCGGGUUGUAAAGCCCUUUUGUUGGGAAAGAAAAGCAGCAGGUUAAUACCCCGCUGUUCUGACGGUACCCAAAGAAUAAGCACCGGCUAACUUCGUG
Molecule: ribosomal RNA, 492 nt
Filed under: uncultured bacterium
Lineage: Bacteria
Description: partial 16S ribosomal RNA
Rfam family: Bacterial small subunit ribosomal RNA
Source: RNAcentral